This 115-nucleotide transfer RNA is filed under the name Cordylochernes scorpioides. RNAcentral describes it as "tRNA-Leu". The record is from RNAcentral. Lineage: Eukaryota; Metazoa; Arthropoda; Arachnida; Pseudoscorpiones; Chernetidae.
UGUCAGAAGUGGGAUUUGAACCCACGCCCACAUUAGUGGACCAGAACACUCAAUCCCGCUACGGGACAAGAUUUACUCUUGAGUCUGGCGCCUUAGACCACUCGGCCAUCCUGAA